Molecule: ribosomal RNA, 460 nt
Filed under: uncultured bacterium
Lineage: Bacteria
Description: partial 16S ribosomal RNA
Rfam family: Bacterial small subunit ribosomal RNA
Source: RNAcentral
CCUACGGGGCGCAGCAGUGAGGAAUAUUGGUCAAUGGGCGUAAGCCUGAACCAGCCAAGUCGCGUGAGGGAUGAAGGUUCUAUGGAUCGUAAACCUCUUUUAUAAGGGAAUAAAGUGCGGGACGUGUCCCGUUUUGUAUGUACCUUAUGAAUAAGGAUCGGCUAACUCCGUGCCAGCAGCCGCGGUAAUACGGAGUAACCGAGCGUUAUCCGGAUUUGUGUGGUUUAAGGGGGGCGUAGGCGGCCUUUUAAGGCAGCGGUGAAAGUCUGUGGCUCAACCAUUGAAUUGCCGUUGAAACUGGGAGGCUUGAGUAUGUUUGAGGCAGGCGGAAGGCGUGGUGUAGCGGUGAAAUGCUUAGAUAUCACGCAGAACCCCGAUUGCGAAGGCAGCCUGCCAAGCCAUGACUGACGCUGAUGCACGAAAGCGUGGGGAUCAAACAGGAUUAGAUACCCUUGUAGUC